This 497-nucleotide ribosomal RNA is filed under the name uncultured bacterium. RNAcentral's name for it is "partial 16S ribosomal RNA". It matches the Rfam family "Bacterial small subunit ribosomal RNA", at positions 28 to 507 of the family's 1533-position model. The record is from RNAcentral.
GAUGAACGCUGGCGGCGUGCCUAAUACAUGCAAGUCGAGCGAACAGACGAGGAGCUUGCUCCUUUGACGUUAGCGGCGGACGGGUGAGUAACACGUGGGUAACCUACCUAUAAGACUGGGAUAACCUCGGGAAACCGGAGCUAAUACCGGAUAAUAUUUCGAACCGCAUGGUUCGAUAGUGAAAGAUGGCUUUGCUAUCACUUAUAGAUGGACCUGCGCCGUAUUAGCUAGUUGGUAAGGUAACGACUUACCAAGGCAACGAUACGUAGCCGACCUGAGAGGGUGAUCGGCCACACUGGAACUGAGACACGGUCCAGACUCCUACGGGAGGCAGCAGUAGGGAAUCUUCCGCAAAGGGCGAAAGCCUGACGGAGCAACGCCGCGUGAGUGAUGAAGGUCUUCGGAUCGUAAAACUCUGUUAUUAGGGAAGAACAAACGUGUAAGUAACUGUGCACGUCUUGACGGUACCUAAUCAGAAAGCCACGGCUAACUACGUG